Molecule: ribosomal RNA, 483 nt
Filed under: uncultured bacterium
Lineage: Bacteria
Description: partial 16S ribosomal RNA
Rfam family: Bacterial small subunit ribosomal RNA
Source: RNAcentral
AUUGAACGCUGGCGGCAGGCCUAACACAUGCAAGUCGAGCGGAUGAAGGGAGCUUGCUCCUGGAUUCAGCGGCGGACGGGUGAGUAAUGCCUAGGAAUCUGCCUGGUAGUGGGGGAUAACGUCCGGAAACGGGCGCUAAUACCGCAUACGUCCUGAGGGAGAAAGUGGGGGAUCUUCGGACCUCACGCUAUCAGAUGAGCCUAGGUCGGAUUAGCUAGUUGGUGGGGUAAAGGCCUACCAAGGCGACGAUCCGUAACUGGUCUGGGAGGAUGAUCAGUCACACUGGAACUGAGACACGGUCCAGACUCCUACGGGAGGCAGCAGUGGGGAAUAUUGGACAAUGGGCGAAAGCCUGAUCCAGCCAUGCCGCGUGUGUGAAGAGGUCUUCGGAUUGUAAAGCACUUUAAGUUGGGAGGAAGGGCAGUAAGUUAAUACCUUGCUGUUUUGACGUUACCAACAGAAUAAGCACCGGCUAACUUCGUG